This 439-nucleotide ribosomal RNA is filed under the name uncultured bacterium. RNAcentral describes it as "partial 16S ribosomal RNA". It matches the Rfam family "Bacterial small subunit ribosomal RNA", at positions 339 to 795 of the family's 1533-position model. The record is from RNAcentral.
CUACGGGGUGCUGCAGUGGGGAAUAUUGCACAAUGGAGGAAACUCUGAUGCAGCAACGCCGCGUGGAGGAUGACACUUUUCGGAGCGUAAACUCCUUUUAUAUAGGAAGAUAAUGACGGUACUAUAUGAAUAAGCACCGGCUAACUCCGCGCCAGCAGCCGCGGUAAUACGGAGGGUGCAAGCGUUACUCGGAAUCACUGGGCGUAAAGAGCGUGUAGGCGGGUUAAUAAGUCAGAAGUGAAAUCCUAUGGCUCAACCAUAGAACUGCUUUUGAAACUGUUAACCUAGAAUAUGGGAGAGGUAGAUGGAAUUUCUGGUGUAGGGGUAAAAUCCGUAGAGAUCAGAAGGAAUACCGAUUGCGAAGGCGAUCUACUGGAACAUUAUUGACGCUGAGACGCGAAAGCGUGGGGAGCAAACAGGAUUAGAUACCCGGGUAGUC